This 431-nucleotide ribosomal RNA is filed under the name uncultured bacterium. RNAcentral's name for it is "partial 16S ribosomal RNA". It matches the Rfam family "Bacterial small subunit ribosomal RNA", at positions 29 to 507 of the family's 1533-position model. The record is from RNAcentral.
AACGAACGCUGGCGGCAGGCUUAACACAUGCAAGUCGAGCGCCCCGCAAGGGGAGCGGCAGACGGGUGAGUAACGCGUGGGAACGUACCUUUUGGUUCGGAACAACUCCGGGAAACUGGAGCUAAUACCGGAUAAGCCCUAACGGGGAAAGAUUUAUCGCCGAAAGAUCGGCCCGCGUCUGAUUAGCUAGUUGGUGAGGUAACGGCUCACCAAGGCGACGAUCAGUAGCUGGUCUGAGAGGAUGAUCAGCCACACUGGGACUGAGACACGGCCCAGACUCCUACGGGAGGCAGCAGUGGGGAAUAUUGGACAAUGGGCGCAAGCCUGAUCCAGCCAUACCGCGUGAGUGAUGAAGGCCUUAGGGUUGUAAAGCUCUUUUGUCCGGGAAGAUAAUGACUGUACCGGAAGAAUAAGCCCCGGCUAACUUCGUG